GCCGAGGUAGCUCAGUCGGUAGAGCAGAAACAAAAAA
Molecule: transfer RNA, 37 nt
Filed under: Polystichum lonchitis
Lineage: Eukaryota; Viridiplantae; Streptophyta; Polypodiopsida; Polypodiales; Dryopteridaceae
Description: partial tRNA-Phe
Source: RNAcentral